This 279-nucleotide ribosomal RNA is filed under the name uncultured bacterium. RNAcentral describes it as "partial 16S ribosomal RNA". It matches the Rfam family "Bacterial small subunit ribosomal RNA", at positions 506 to 784 of the family's 1533-position model. The record is from RNAcentral.
UGCCAGCCGCCGCGGUAAUACGGAGGGUGCAAACGUUGCUCGGAAUCACUGGGCGUAAAGGGUGCGUAGGCGGCCCUGUAAGUCAGAUGUGAAAGCCCUCGGCUCAACCGAGGAAUUGCAUUUGAAACUACAGGGCUUGAGUUCGGUAGAGGGAAGCGGAAUUCCUGGUGUAGCGGUGAAAUGCGUUGAUAUCAGGAGGAACACCGGUGGCGAAGGCGGCUUCCUGGGCCGACACUGACGCUGAGGCACGAAAGCGUGGGGAGCGAACAGGAUUAGAUA